CAAAAAAUAACAAUGAGAACAACACAUAUGCGGAAAAAAAAGAGUCGGGAGGAGAAUUGUUGUGCUCCUGAUGGACGCGACGGACACGCCCAUUUCACGCAUGGGUCGCAAAACAGAGAGAAUAGACGAACAAAAAAGUUUUGAAGAAACGGGGGGGGGGGGGGGGGAGAAAAAUGGUGAAAGACGAUGGGGGAGCAAAAUUUGUUUCCAUCUUUUGAUGGUCAUGUUUUU
This is a non-coding RNA of Caenorhabditis elegans, 231 nucleotides long. Lineage: Eukaryota; Metazoa; Nematoda; Chromadorea; Rhabditida; Rhabditidae. The record is from Ensembl.